GGGGGCCCGCAAGCGGUGGAGCAUGUGGUUCAAUUCGACGCAACGCGAAGAACCUUACCUGGGCCCGAAAUGCAGGAGACCGGGGUAGAAAUAUCCCUUUCUCGCAAGAGACCGCUGUAUAGGUGCCGCAUGGCUGUCGUCAGCUCGUGUCGUGAGAUGUUGGGUUAAGUCCCGCAACGAGCGCAACCCUCAUCCCUAGUUGCCACCGGGUAAUGCCGAGCACUCUAGUGAAACCGCCCCGGAUAACGGGGAGGAAGGUGGGGAUGACGUCAAGUCCUCAUGGCCUUUAUGUCCAGGGCUACACACGUGCUACAAUGGUCGGUACAAACCGUCGCAAAGCUGCAAAGUGGAGCUAAUCGGAAAAAGCCGGCCUCAGUUCGGAUUGGAGUCUGCAACUCGACUCCAUGAAGCUGGAAUCGCUAGUAAUCGCAGAUCAGAACGCUGCGGUGAAUACGUUCCCGGGCCUUGUACACACC
Molecule: ribosomal RNA, 476 nt
Filed under: uncultured bacterium
Lineage: Bacteria
Description: bacterial SSU rRNA
Rfam family: Bacterial small subunit ribosomal RNA
Source: RNAcentral